CAUUCUCAAAAAGAACCCUUCUCGGUCUUGCGAUCGGGAAAGGCCUCUUUUUGGACUUUGGAGGUUAUUGCUGGUCCCCCCUUGAUAGCCAGCUCCUCUUAAAUGAAUUAGUAGGGACCACUUUGCCGACCCUAGACGUGAUAAGAUGUUUCUGCGUCUUGGGUAUUCGCUCUGUCCUUUGGAAACCUGCUUCUAACCGUCUUGUCAAAAGACAGCGUUCGAGCCUUUCUCGUUGAUCGGGCAAGGCUUGACUUGACGAACC
Molecule: unclassified non-coding RNA, 262 nt
Filed under: uncultured Russula
Lineage: Eukaryota; Fungi; Basidiomycota; Agaricomycetes; Russulales; Russulaceae
Description: sequence contains ITS2
Source: RNAcentral